GCUUUCACUAAUUUGAGCAUAUAAACUGUUAAGUUUUGUAAGUAUGUCUGUGUUAACUUUAAUCUUACUCAGGACAAAGUUAGUAAAUUCUUUUCAGUGGUUUUGAAAAAAAUUAAAGUCUACAUGUAAAAAUAGAUUGCUUAUAUCCUGUUGAUUUCUUUUGUUGAUGUUGAUGGUUGUUGUUUUCUGUGUGAUUGUACCAUUUCACAGAAGGAUAUAGUUUAAAAAGUGAUGCUGGAAGUUGUGUAGUAACUUUCAGUGGUCAAAUUCAUAGUUAAGUUUUUAAAUAUAUAUUUUACAGUAUAUAUGUUUGUCAGUAUAC
RNAcentral lists this long non-coding RNA (322 nucleotides) under Bos taurus (domestic cattle). RNAcentral describes it as "long non-coding RNA NONBTAT000730". The record is from RNAcentral. Lineage: Eukaryota; Metazoa; Chordata; Mammalia; Artiodactyla; Bovidae.